UGUCCCUGGUCGUAGGAAGAGGCCUGACGGAGAGGAGUAGUGUAUUGGUGGCAACCACAGUCUUUACCUUAAGUAAGCUGGAGCUCGGACGUGUUGGAGGCGCCUCUGGAGGAGGUUGGAUGUCGUUGCCCACGCAGCAAUCCCUGGAAGCGAAGGACAACAGCCGAUCCUCCCCCGUGUGCCCCCUUGUCAAGCUGGGCGGGAAGCCCAGUAUUGUUUGCAGUUUCACCUGUAAGGCCCACCAGCCGUCAGUCAUCGACUAAACCCGUAUCUGCUUGGAAUACAGACCUCUGAAUAUCUUCAGUGGUGAGUAGCGCAUUAACAGCUCAGCCCUGUGAAUACCCACCUGUGUAUGGAACACUGUACUUACAUUGAGAGCUAGAACCCCUGCACGCUAACAGCUCAGCCCUGUGAAUACUUACCUGUGUAUGGAACACUGUACUUACAUUGAGAGCUAGAACCCCUGCACGCUAACAGCUCAGCCCUGUGAAUACUUACCUGUGUAUCGAACACUGUACUUACCUGAGAGCUAGAACCCCUGCACGCUAACAGCCCAGCCCUGUGAAUACCCACCUGUGUAUCGAACACUGUAUUUACCUGAGAGCUAGAACCCCUGCACGCUAACAGCCCAGCCCUGUGAAUACUUACCUGUGUAUCGAACACUGUACUUACCUGAGAGCUAGAACCCCUGCACGCUAACAGCCCAGCCCUGUGAAUACUUACCUGUGUAUCGAACACUGUACUUACCUGAGAGCUAGAACCCCUGCACGCUAACAGCCCAGCCCUGUGAAUACCCACCUGUGUAUCGAACACUGUAUUUACCUGAGAGCUAGAACCCCUGCACGCUAACAGCCCAGCCCUUUGAAUACUUACCUGUGUAUGGAACACUGUACUUACUUGAGAGCUAGAACCCCUGCACGCUAACAGCUUAGCCCUGUGAAUACUCACCUGUGUAUUGAACUCUGUAUUUACCUGAGAGCUAGAACCCCUGCACGUCAACUGCCUAGCUCUUGCUUUAAACUUACCUGGAGUGGAGUCGGCGGGAAAUUAAGGGCUGAAGUGGAGUGUUGUCGAGGAAGGGCUGAAGAGGAGUGUUCUUGAGACUGGAAUCCGUAUUUGUGGAUAAAGAAUAGUUCGAGUCAUCAUUAGUUUUAAAGUUUCCUUACCCCUUUCCCCAAACUUUUAAACAAAUAAAAUUGUUACAUUUUAA
Molecule: long non-coding RNA, 1210 nt
Organism: Carassius gibelio (silver crucian carp)
Lineage: Eukaryota; Metazoa; Chordata; Actinopteri; Cypriniformes; Cyprinidae
Exons: 2
Source: RefSeq, a predicted model, not a curated record